AUGGAAAUACUAUCCUGGAACUGCCGAGGACUUGGGAAUGCCCCGGCAGUACGUGCUUUGCUGGAUGUCCAGUGAAGAUGUAACCUCGAGGUGUUGUUCUUGUCGGAGACGCACCUCGAUAGCUAUCCGGCAGAGUGUCUAAGGAAGAUAUUGAAGAUGGACCAAAAGUUUGUCUGUCCAAGUAAUGGUAGAAGUGGAGGUUUACUUCUUUUU
Molecule: ribosomal RNA, 213 nt
Filed under: Triticum aestivum (bread wheat)
Lineage: Eukaryota; Viridiplantae; Streptophyta; Magnoliopsida; Poales; Poaceae
Description: partial small subunit ribosomal RNA
Source: RNAcentral